Drosophila suzukii is the source of this 1776-nucleotide non-coding RNA. NCBI's taxonomy places the organism in Eukaryota, Metazoa, Arthropoda, Insecta, Diptera, Drosophilidae. The record is from RefSeq and is a predicted model, not a curated record.
CUUGGCUUAUAAGCGUCUCAAUUGACCCAAGCGUUUUCGCGGCACAUACAUAAGUGAAACAAAAAGUUAUAAAAAUGAGUGAAAAAGAAUGUGAAGAGGAUCCACUAUAUCAACUUUUAAAAAAGAUAGAAAUUGAGGAAGUGCAUACAUUUCUAACAGCUGCUAAAGUAAACAUCGAGCAGCUAAAAUACAUGAACGCCGAUGACAUUAAGGAGGCAGUGCCUCCAUUAGGUCUGCGCAUAGGGUUUAGACAAAAACUCUUCAGAUGGAAGGAGUCUGAGGGUGGAGAUGAAGACCGAAUUGCGCCACUACCCUCUUUUGUCAGACGUCAAGGCUCCCCUAAAGUUCAUUUUGAAUAAAAGUUUGCACUCCUUACUUAAUGAGUCUCGAAAGGGCAUGAAGAUUUUGGAACACGAAGAGACUCAUCUUUGUCUUCCCCAAGUGCUUCGGGACGAACUUAUUUCUAUUAUAAUAGAAGAGGCCAUGCUCGAACACAUUACGAUUAGCGUUCCAGAUUUCCAAGCCUUGCUAGAGGAAAUAUGUUUUGUUCUCCCAAGCCAGAUAAACGUUAAGGAUUACUAUUUUAUACCUCGAAUGGGUAGAGGCAAUCCUGCAGGAAAACUAUAUUCAAAAUAUAUGAACCGCCGCAGCCGCAUAUUAAAACAGAAGAAAAGGUCUGUAGAACUUGUGAUCUCCGAAGAAGAUGAUGCAGACAUCUGCAAGGCAUACAAGCUCACGCUUAGCCGUACAUGUGACGAUUGAGAGAGUGUACGUGAUAUGUGGAAAAAGACAUACAAAAUACGACAGAAAGACGUCACGGCUCUGAACAACUCUGAUUUUUUUAAAGCUUGGAAUAAAUUUUCCCGUGCAAAGGCGUACGAGCUGAUUGAUAUUGAUUUCGACCUUAUGUAUCCUGGAAAAGGUUUUCAUUUGCUUUCAAAGUGGCAAGAAUUUCGGCAAAAAAUAAUGUGUUAUUACGAAGACAACAUCAUUAAUGAACAUUGCAAAGCCCAACUCUUGCUUGUUAAAAACUGCACCAACAUAGAUGCCCAGGACUUCAUAAUCGCCACAUUGCUGAAUGCUGUUUUGCCCUCAUCAGCCCGCUUCAGAAUGAAGAUGGAAAAUUUACAAGGAAAGCUACAAUACUGGACGCGCAGGAGAGUUUCGUGCUGAGACUAGUAACUAUUAAUGACUUAGAUAUUCAAUUGGACCGAGUCAUAAACAUGUAUUACAGUUCGGGUCUUAAAUUACAUCCUAUUAUUAUUGUAGUUGGUCCUUUCGAUUGUGAGAUCAACGAAUUAUUUUUAUAUUUUGAUGGAAAUUUAAUAAGUGGCCCAAAUGUACAUAUAUAAAAGAUUAUAAGUUGUUUUAGUUAUAAGGAAAAUAUUUUUGUACUAUGUAAUGAAGUAGGUUUAAUUCGAUUUGACAAACAUUUUUAUUCUUAUGAAAUCGGUUAUCCAUCCGAUACAUUUUGCAUUUUAAACAUUAAUGAAAUAACUACUCUUCCUUUGCACUUAUAUACAAUAAACAAUAGAAAAUCGUAUCUUAAAUUUAAAUAUAUAUAGAAACUAUAAACCUGUGAAAUAAAAUUUAAGCCAAAACAAUAGCUUCUUAAGCGUAUAUAGAAAAUGUAAAAUAAAAAUGAAAAAUAAAAUGAAUAUCAAAACAAUAGCUUCCUAAGCGUAUGUAACAACUGUAAAAUAAACAUGUACAAUAAAAUGUAAGACAAAACAAUAACUUCCUAAGCGUAUAAAAAAAUAAAGUUUCUGAAAUUGA